CCCUUAGAUGUUCUGGGCCGCACGCGCGCUACACUGAUGAAUGCAAAGAGCUCUACCCUUGACCGAAAGGCCCGGGUAAACUUGUGAAACUUCAUCGUGAUGGGGAUAGAUUAUUGCAAUUAUUAAUCUUCAACGAGGAAUUCCUAGUAAGCGCGAGUCAUCAGCUCGCGUUGAUUACGUCCCUGCCCUUUGUACACACCGCCCGUCGCUCCUACCGAUUGAAUGGUCCGGUGAAAUCUUCGGAUUGCUGACCAAGAUCCAGCAAUGGAGCUUGGUUGCGAGAAGUUGAUUAAACCUUAUUAUUUAGAGGAAGGAGAAGUCGUAACA
RNAcentral lists this ribosomal RNA (327 nucleotides) under uncultured eukaryote. Its description in RNAcentral is "partial 18S ribosomal RNA". It matches the Rfam family "Eukaryotic small subunit ribosomal RNA", at positions 1470 to 1796 of the family's 1831-position model. The record is from RNAcentral.